GGGUUGUGGCUCAGUGGUAGAGCAUUUGCCUAGCAUGUGUGAGGCCCUGGGUUCAAGUGUCAGCACCCG
Molecule: transfer RNA, 69 nt
Filed under: Marmota monax (woodchuck)
Lineage: Eukaryota; Metazoa; Chordata; Mammalia; Rodentia; Sciuridae
Description: tRNA.Ala
Source: RNAcentral